RNAcentral lists this ribosomal RNA (118 nucleotides) under uncultured Microsporidia. RNAcentral describes it as "partial small subunit ribosomal RNA". It matches the Rfam family "Microsporidia small subunit ribosomal RNA", at positions 23 to 143 of the family's 1311-position model. The record is from RNAcentral. Lineage: Eukaryota; Fungi; Microsporidia.
GUAGAUGCUCGUCUCGGAGACUAAGCCAUGCAUGCCCGUGAACAGCAGGGAACGGCGAACGGCUCAGUAAUACUGCGACGAUCUGCUCCUCGCGCGCGAUAACCACGGGAAACUGUGG